ACCCGGAUCGUAUAACGGCAUUACGACUGACUCUGGAUCAGUAUAUCGAGGUUCGAAUCCUUGUCCGGGUGCCA
RNAcentral lists this transfer RNA (74 nucleotides) under Arthrobacter phage Atuin. RNAcentral describes it as "tRNA-Gln". It matches the Rfam family "tRNA". From Rfam's summary of the family: Transfer RNA (tRNA) molecules are approximately 80 nucleotides in length. Their secondary structure includes four short double-helical elements and three loops (D, anti-codon, and T loops). Lineage: Duplodnaviria; Heunggongvirae; Uroviricota; Caudoviricetes. The record is from RNAcentral.